This 597-nucleotide ribosomal RNA is filed under the name Triticum aestivum (bread wheat). RNAcentral's name for it is "partial small subunit ribosomal RNA". Lineage: Eukaryota; Viridiplantae; Streptophyta; Magnoliopsida; Poales; Poaceae. The record is from RNAcentral.
AUGGACACGAGUGCAAGAGCAAGCUACCUUAAGAAGGUGCACAAAGAUACAAGGCACACAAUCCAGCGCCAAGUACAACGACUCGGGACCAAGCUCAACAUCAACAAACAACCCGUGAUAUUCAACAUUGGAGAUCUUGUGUGGCUACACCUUCGAAAGGAACGCUUCCCCAACGAACGCAAGUCCAAACUUCUACCACGAGCUGAUGGACCCUUCAAGGUGCUUGAACGCUACAACAACAAUGCCUACAAGAUCGACAUCCCACGCAACAAGUACUCCGUGAGCGACAUCUUCAACGUCAACGAUCUCUCCCCAUACCAUGGUGAUGAGGAUUUCGACUCGAGGUCGGAUCUUUCCCAAGGAAGGGGAGAUGAUGCGGAGCAUCCUACGGUCAUCCCCAUGGACACUACUUCAACUACUCAAGCUCCAAGUGGACCCAUGACAAGAGCUCGAGCACGUGCUAUUCAAUCCGAGGUUAACUCUCUCCUUGUUGAACUUCCCUUUGACCCACUUGAGACAUGGCUACUACCUCAAACGAAGAUGCUUUGUGUGCUUAGGUACCAAGGAGAAGUUACGGCGCAAGAUGAACAUCAAUAG